Molecule: small nucleolar RNA, 93 nt
Organism: Rhododendron vialii
Lineage: Eukaryota; Viridiplantae; Streptophyta; Magnoliopsida; Ericales; Ericaceae
Product: small nucleolar RNA Z266
Exons: 1
Source: RefSeq, a predicted model, not a curated record
UGGUGGCAAGAAUGAUGAAACAAUUAGAUGUCUGAAUGGAGUUUUCCCUGAACGAAAAUUUCGAGGCUUAUUGAUAUUCUGACAUUGUCACAA